RNAcentral lists this long non-coding RNA (341 nucleotides) under Salvia miltiorrhiza (redroot sage). RNAcentral's name for it is "long non-coding RNA (SMIL_LNC009103)". Lineage: Eukaryota; Viridiplantae; Streptophyta; Magnoliopsida; Lamiales; Lamiaceae. The record is from RNAcentral.
UCUCUCUCUCUCUCUCUCUCUCUCUCUCUCAGAUCCAGAUCGUCGUCGUCGCCGGAUCGAUGGCGGAGGAGCUCGAGAUCCGAUUUGUCGGAGCGGGAUGGUUUCGCCGGAAAAUUGAAGAAUUCAGCCGGAGAAGAUGACCAGAAAAUAAAUAAAAAAAAUAUAAAAAAGGGUUAAGAUACAAAUACCCCCCUAAGGUAGACCCCCCUAGAGCGUUUAAACCCCCAUACUCGACUUUGGUACAAUUUGCCCCCCAACGGAGUUAAACCGCCGUUAACGGCUGGACCUAUCUGUAUAUUUUUCUUCGACUUUGGGGGGCAAAUUGUACCAAAGUCGAGUAU